UACAGAGGUCUCAAGCGUUUGUUCGGAUUCAUUGGGCGUAAAGGGUGCGUAGGCGGCGCGGUAAGUCGGGUGUGAAAUCUCGGAGCUUAACUCCGAAACUGCAUUCGAUACUGCCGUGCUUGAGGACUGGAGAGGAGACUGGAAUUUACGGUGUAGCGGUGAAAUGCGUAGAGAUCGGGAAGAACACCCGUGGCGAAGGCGGUGUGCUGGGUUGCAACUGACGCUGAGAUGCGAAAGUGUGGGGAGCAAACGGG
Molecule: ribosomal RNA, 254 nt
Filed under: uncultured bacterium
Lineage: Bacteria
Description: partial 16S ribosomal RNA
Rfam family: Bacterial small subunit ribosomal RNA
Source: RNAcentral